UCCCGAUGAGGAAGAAUUCCCAAGAGAUAGGAAGUGCCGUAUGACACUUUAAUCAGCAGCGGCAGC
Molecule: small nucleolar RNA, 66 nt
Organism: Manihot esculenta (cassava)
Lineage: Eukaryota; Viridiplantae; Streptophyta; Magnoliopsida; Malpighiales; Euphorbiaceae
Product: small nucleolar RNA U49
Exons: 1
Source: RefSeq, a predicted model, not a curated record